RNAcentral lists this transfer RNA (72 nucleotides) under Genlisea aurea. It matches the Rfam family "tRNA". From Rfam's summary of the family: Transfer RNA (tRNA) molecules are approximately 80 nucleotides in length. Lineage: Eukaryota; Viridiplantae; Streptophyta; Magnoliopsida; Lamiales; Lentibulariaceae. The record is from Rfam by way of RNAcentral.
GACCCACUAGUCAAGAGGUUAAGACAUGAUACUUUCACUAUCAUAUCCUGGGUUCAAUCCCCAGGUGGGUUA